Molecule: non-coding RNA, 1783 nt
Organism: Vicugna pacos (alpaca)
Lineage: Eukaryota; Metazoa; Chordata; Mammalia; Artiodactyla; Camelidae
Source: RefSeq, a predicted model, not a curated record
CUGCUGCACAGAGACGCCAGCUUUCGGUGCCUCCGCUCUGGUUCACACACGUUCACACCCCCGAGGGCCGGGGGAGAGGCGUCCGCGCGAUAUCGGUAUUGAGAUUAAUAACAAGGUGCGGAGAGUGCGAGAAGGAGGAGGGUUGAUUGACGUGGAGGGGCUGGCGAGAGUCAGUCACUCCCCGGCGCGGAGGGGUGGGGUGAGGGGAAGGAGGCGGAGCUCCAGCGCCGCGCCUUGGCCCCGCCCCCGGGGCGCCGCGCAGGAUCAUAGUGCGCGUGCGCGCGCGGCUGCCAGGGUUCUUGCCCUUUUUCUCCUGUUCCCUUGCCGGAUUCUUGCUUUUCUUGGCUUGAGUGACGAGCAGUGGGUUAUCACAAAGCCACAGAGGCACGGGGCGGGGGAGGAUGGAGAAAAGACUGGCGAUCCCACCUCAACCGGUGCUCGUGCGUGGACGCGGCGCUGUUUACUGCACGCUCGCCGGAGGCAGCCUGGCCCCAAAGCCGAACCCUGGUCUGGGUAGCUAAUCGGACGCCAGGAUGACUGUGGAUGACACCAAGGACCAUCCCACUCUCUUGGCCAAAGAUAAACAUUUCCCACCAUUUUUAACAGUGUGCCUUUGAUAAGCUAGUCCUGGAUAAAAUGACAAGGUAGGCAAAGUUCAUCGUGCUGUCCUCCUGCUUCUUCUUCCUACACUCCCAGUCUCAGGUUCCUGGAUGCCUGAACAUUCAGAAUCUCCACCUCAACCCCAUCAACAUCAGCACCACUCUUCCUAGUACUUUCCCGUAUUCCAGAAAUGUUCUACUGGGUAAGUACCACCACCAUCAAUAAAUAUCUAGUGUUUCAAUUUUUCAAGGAUCUGGAGACACCUGGCAUGCUAUCCAAUCAAUAAAAUCAGUUAUUUUCAUGUGGUACUCCAAUGAUCUUCAUGAGGUCUUCAGAGGUACGCAUCCCAAGCCGCCCAGUGUACACAGAGGGGACCGGGGAGGUGGGAUCUCAACUAGAAACCUUCGUUUUUAUCUGUUUUACAUAUUGACCAUCUAAUUGACUGCCUGGUAACUUCCCUUUUUCUGUAAACAAUGCUCCUUUCCUUGGAGGGAACUAUUCCUGCCUAUACUAUAAACAGGUGAUUCUAGGGACAGUUGCACCUCAAGAGAAUCCCCCAACUUCUUGACUACAGUGUGGGCAUAUAACUCAAGCCAAAGCAAGCAGAAUUAUCCCCCAGAAUGUUUUCAGGUGGAAUGAAGGGAAGAAGGGCUUGUCCACCAUAGCAGUAGUCGGAGAUGAGAAAGAAAGAUGGAAGUCUUGAGAGUGGCCAGUGGCUGCAUACUGCCUUGUGUGGAAUGAAUCCGUCACACAGGAAGUGUAGAGAGUAAGUCCUGGUGGUGCACUAGUCUCAGGUUCCAGUCAUCCAUGUAGUUCAGCUGCACCUUGUCACAAAAUAUGCUUAAAUUAACUAGUAAAUUCUCUUCUAUGUCUAAGGUAACUUGAGUUAGAACUCUGCAACCAAAACAUCCUAAUACGUUGUGUUUCUGCAUGAAGGGUCUUUCAAAGAAGCCUAACUGCUGCUAAAUAAGUUUGAAAACCACUGAACUGAACUACCGGCAACCUGCAGUUCUGUGCAGCAAGCAAGAGCUAGGGAUUGAAAUCAAAGAAAGACUAUAUGACAUCAACCCAGGCCUCACACUGAAAUGUGAAUCUGUUAAUAAAGUUAUAGUCAGUUGCUACAGGGAUGAUUUUCAGAUGAGAAAUUUCCAUGAAAUUCCAAAUUUCCAAAAGAAUAGAGAUG